AGUGAACGCUGGCGGUAGGCCUAACACAUGCAAGUCGAACGGCAGCACAGUAAGAGCUUGCUCUUACGGGUGGCGAGUGGCGGACGGGUGAGGAAUACAUCGGAAUCUACUUUUUCGUGGGGGAUAACGUAGGGAAACUUACGCUAAUACCGCAUACGACCUACGGGUGAAAGCAGGGGAUCUUCGGACCUUGCGCGAUUGAAUGAGCCGAUGUCGGAUUAGCUAGUUGGCGGGGUAAAGGCCCACCAAGGCGACGAUCCGUAGCUGGUCUGAGAGGAUGAUCAGCCACACUGGAACUGAGACACGGUCCAGACCCCUACGGGAGGCAGCAGUGGGGAAUAUUGGACAAUGGGCGCAAGCCUGAUCCAGCCAUACCGCGUGGGUGAAGAAGGCCUUCGGGUUGUAAAGCCCUUUUGUUGGGAAAGAAAAGCAGCAGGUUAAUACCCCGCUGUUCUGACGGUACCCAAAGAAUAAGCACCGGCUAACCUCGUG
RNAcentral lists this ribosomal RNA (492 nucleotides) under uncultured bacterium. Its description in RNAcentral is "partial 16S ribosomal RNA". It matches the Rfam family "Bacterial small subunit ribosomal RNA", at positions 29 to 507 of the family's 1533-position model. The record is from RNAcentral.